RNAcentral lists this ribosomal RNA (497 nucleotides) under uncultured bacterium. Its description in RNAcentral is "partial 16S ribosomal RNA". It matches the Rfam family "Bacterial small subunit ribosomal RNA", at positions 28 to 507 of the family's 1533-position model. The record is from RNAcentral.
GAUGAACGCUGGCGUCGUGCCUAAUACAUGCAAGUCGAGCGAACAGACGAGGAGCUUGCUCCUCUGACGUUAGCGGCGGACGGGUGAGUAACACGUGGAUAACCUACCUAUAAGACUGGGAUAACUUCGGGAAACCGGAGCUAAUACCGGAUAAUAUAUUUAACCGCAUGGUUCAAUAGUGAAAGACGGUUUUGCUGUCACUUAUAGAUGGAUCCGCGCCGCAUUAGCUAGUUGGUAAGGUAACGGCUUACCAAGGCAACGAUGCGUAGCCGACCUGAGAGGGUGAUCGGCCACACUGGAACUGAGACACGGUCCAGACUCCUACGGGAGGCAGCAGUAGGGAAUCUUCCGCAAUGGGCGCAAGCCUGACGGAGCAACGCCGCGUGAGUGAUGAAGGUCUUCGGAUCGUAAAACUCUGUUAUUAGGGAAGAACAAAUGUGUAAGUAACUAUGCACGUCUUGACGGUACCUAAUCAGAAAGCCACGGCUAACUACGUG